CCUGAACGCUGGCGGCGUGGCUAAGACAUGCAAGUCGCACGGGGCCGCAAGGUCCAGUGGCGAACGGGUGAGUAAUGAAUCGCUAACGUGCCCCGGACUCUGGGAUAGCUAUCCGAAAGGGUAGGUAAUACCAGAUGACAUACCUGCUCCGCAUGGAGUGGGUCUCAAAGGUCCGCCGGUCUGGGAGCGGGCGAUUUCGUAUCAGCUAGUUGGUGCGGGUAACGGCCCACCAAGGCGACGACGCGUAGCCGGACUGAGAGGUUGGCCGGCCACAUUGGGACUGAGACACUGCCCAGACUCCUACGGGGGCUGCAGUAACGAAUCUUCCGCAAUGCACGCAAGUGUGACGGAGCGACGCCGCGUGUGGGACGAAGCCCUUC
Molecule: ribosomal RNA, 380 nt
Filed under: uncultured bacterium
Lineage: Bacteria
Description: bacterial SSU rRNA
Rfam family: Bacterial small subunit ribosomal RNA
Source: RNAcentral